ACUUCCGUUGGCUUUAUUGACCGUGAGGGUUCAAGUCCCUCUACCCCCA
Molecule: transfer RNA, 49 nt
Filed under: Drepanocladus capillifolius
Lineage: Eukaryota; Viridiplantae; Streptophyta; Bryopsida; Hypnales; Amblystegiaceae
Description: partial tRNA-Leu
Source: RNAcentral